Molecule: long non-coding RNA, 4622 nt
Organism: Syzygium oleosum
Lineage: Eukaryota; Viridiplantae; Streptophyta; Magnoliopsida; Myrtales; Myrtaceae
Exons: 2
Source: RefSeq, a predicted model, not a curated record
UUAAAAAAAAUUCAGAAUAAAUGUACAGAGGAUACAAUUUAGUAAUUUUUGGAAGAAGAGACCUGCUUGGCGGCAGCAGAAGAGUCUCUAAUCUUAAAAGAAAAAAAAAGUAGGGUUUCUUCACAGGAGUUGCGGCCGGGGGUCGAGUGGUGUCUAAGUUCGUUCACUGCGGCGCCGACUGAAGCGGGAGAGUCAAACGGGGAACGUCGGGAGGGUCGGAGGCUCCGACUGCCGACGCGGUGAACCAGCUUAGCAUCACCCCGACCUCAGCUUUCUCCUUCUUUCGUCACCUCGAUCCCUGUGGCUUUCCUCUCGACCCUCCCACCUAUCUUCAUCUUUUUUCCUCAGCACUCUGUACGAGCAGCACGAUUUUGUAGUAAUUGUAUAAUCAACCCCUCUAAUUUGGUUACAUUAGUUGUUCUUGUGCCCAUGGGUGGGCUUGGGCUUGUUUUGGCCCCCCAACUUUUGGCUCCAACUUAAAGGAAGACGUUGAAAUUGUUAGAAUUAUAGUGUACUUAUCUUUCUUCAGAUGAAUUGGCUCCGAUUACAAUUAACUUAUUAUGUACUUUUGUAACAUGCUUAUCAAGAUUUGAGGUGUUCAGUAUUGAAAUUUUCAUCUAUCCCCAUUCUCUGAUUAGAAAACCCACAGUUUCCCCCUGUUUUAGAUUGUUUAAUUUUCCAGUUUGGUUAAUGACAAGCUCUAUAAGCCAUAUUGUUUGAUCUGGCUUGAUUUUGCUUCUAGAAACACCAGAUGGAUUAAUAACAUCUUUAACGGGAAGUGUUGGCAUUAACAUAAGAAGGGAUGUGGGCUUGUGAUUCCUCUGAAAGACAGAGGACGUUAUAAGAAUUAAGACCUUGUGACAUAGCCUCCUAUGGCGACAUAGCUGCUGCAAUACUACUCUGCAUCAGUUUUAAAUGUUGAUUUCUAUGCAAAAACUAAGGAUUAGCUUCCCAAGUAAGGACUAACGAAUAGUUUUGACAUAUUCAUGUUUAUUUCAUUUUCCAUGUUCUGUAUAUACUUUGAAAAUGUCGAGAUGUCAUGGCCAGCCUCUGAAACUUGUUGGCCAAAGGAAUAAUUAGUAAUUUCAAACCAUUUGGGCUACUUGCGAAAUUAUUGGGUCAAGAGUUGGAAAGUACAGCAUUUUGGAUGGUCAUUGAAUUCCUUUUUUUUUUUUUUAGACUAAGAUAUCCUCUACACUUCUCUAAUUCAUCCAUUGCACUUGCAUGGCAAUCAUUCUUUUCAUCCUGCAAAACGGUGACAAGAUAUAGGAAGUGCACUGUUAGUUUAUUUGGAUCUUUUGUUCUCACUACCACUUUAUUUAUACAUUAAAAAGGGAUCAACAUACUCGAUUUCUUACCUUCUUCCAUAAAAAGCAAGAGAGAAAACGAACUUUCGGUCUUUGUUUAUAAGGCUUAUUACUCCCAUUUUGAGCUUAGUUCCAUUUGUUGACCACAUAUUAUUUGCAAAAAGCAUAGGUAGGGGAUAUGCCUGUGUGUUUCAAUCAGUCUAAAGUUAGUGGUAUACCAAUUUCCUGGUCUUUGGUGUUGAUUGCAGUGGAAAGUUUCACCAAAAUCUAUUGCUAGUAUUUCAUUUUUCUUUUCAAUUUUCUGGGUGCUCAUUAUGUCUCCUUGUUUGUGGCUGUUUGUGACAGUCCUUUUUUCCUGCACAGCAUUUCUUACGAAAUGUUGAAGUUCCUAUACCUUCUUCCACCUAAGUAUUGCGGCCUUCACUUGAACUCCAGGUUGGCUAAUCAUGGCGAACGAUUGUAUUACUUAUAAACAAUGCUAGAACAUAGAUGAUGGAUCCACUCCUUUAAUACCAAAAGUAGUAUUUUUUAAUUUCUUAUUAUGGGAAAGAAGAAUUAGCGUGCUUAACUUCUCUAGAUGCCGUUCAUCAAUGAAGGUGUUCUGUUAGAUGAAGUUAAGGAAAAAAAAUGUUUUUCUUCAAUUGGAGUUUGGUUUUCUUUUGGCUUCAUUUUAAAGUUAAAGAUUCUUGUUUCUAUCACUGGACUAAGCCUGAAACAUGACAUAAGUCAGUCACAGUUUCAGUUUGAUGUUUCCGAAAUUUCAUAGCAUGACUAUUCAUACUUAUUUUCCCUUCUGCAGUAAGUUGCUCAAGAAAUGUAUAAUUUCUUUUGUGGAUGUUUGGGGCUCAAAAAAGUUACAAAAUUUGUCAAUAUUUUUUUCCUCUUUGUGAUCCUGUGGUGUUUUUGGGCAUGAGUUCCUCCUAUUUGCUUAUCAUUAAAAAAAACAGAAGUUCCUGAUAUUUGCUUUUAAUAUUGAUAACAUAUUGAUAACUGAGCAUUGGCAUCUUGCUGUUGCUCUAAUGAAUGAUUGAGACCUAAGAGUUUUCAUGUGAUGGCUGGUGGCUGGGACUUCACACCUUGUUCAGAACAGUACUAUCCAAGUGAUCAUGCUCUGCCGGAUAUCAAGGUGAGGACAAUUGGUAUGCAUUUUAACUUAUGUCAAAGAUGACUUUAAAAAGUAAGCCUAGGUUAAAAUUGAUGUCAAUAACCUUCAUGUGCUUUGGGUUACCUUAUCUUGUUUCUUUUUUUUUUAUUAUUGAAUAAAAGUCCCCUCUACUGUCUAAAAUAGACAACGUGCUCUCCAUCCAUCAACUGUUAGGUUUUUCAUUUUAUUAAAUUUGCACGGGUGACCUCUUAUAAAUGUCUCUAAGAUAUGAGCUUAACUUAUAAUUAUCCCACGUUUAAGGGAUGAACUUACUUUUCGCACAAAAAGUUUACAGAUUAGAUGAUGAUAGCAUAACCAGUCCCAGAAAGGGGAUGAACUUGUUGAUUUCUUAUUAUAAGGGGAACUCUUCAACAAAGAGUAUAGGGUGGCAAAAAUAAAUAAUUAAAGGGAGUUUCAAGACAUUUUUGAGCUUUAAGUUAAUAAACCACAGGAUUAGAGAACAAGAGCGAGUGUUUUGGUAAUAAAGAAGUUUCUACAUCAUUAAGUAUAUAUAUACGAUAUGGAUCAAAUGGAGAAAUGAUAGUUCUUAGUUGGCAUCUUAGUCCAACUGCUUUAGGAUGACUUGUGAUGUUGAGUGGGCUUGCAUCUCUACUAUUACAUAUGUAGACCACUCGCAUCACGGUCUAGCAGAGGGGGUACUGGAGAAAUUGUCAGGUGCUCUUGUGCGCUUCAUUCUCAUUUGUUGUCAAGUAUUAUAAACUUUGCUAUUAUACUUCAUAUAAUAAUACCUGGCACUCUCCAUGAGCCUGUAAAAUCGUUCGGGAUGAGAGUGACAAUGAUGGUUUUAUUCCAUUCGAGUAGUUUCUCAGUCUAUACUACAUAGUUUUUCAUUUGAUUGUUUUCAUUUGAAUCAAACGAUUUACUAUCAUGCACUUUCUUGUAUCAACUUAAUCUAUCAAAAAGAUCUUCUGCAAAAGAUGGCUUGAACAUUGGCCCACAUAAUGACUGUGAACCUUUCAAGUAUAUCGACUUUUUUCUUGUCGUGAAGGUCAUUUCACUUACAUCUGUUUUCCAGACUUAGUUGUUUCUGUCAUUACACAGAUACCAUCACUUGUCAAUUCAUUUGUCUGCACUUUCUGCUAACCUUUUCAAACUCAUCGUGACUCUAAGUAUUCAUUGCCUCAGCUUACUAAAUUUACUCAACUAUGAACUCUGAAGUGUCAUAGAUGCUAACAUGGAAAAGGGGAACAUGAUUCAUCAACUAUGAUCUGUGAAGUGUCAUGUGUAGACCUAAGGUUCGAACAACAAAUUAGAUCUACUUUGUCAGUCUUGUGGCGUGUUAUAAAUCAUCCCUUGAGUUUUACCCUUAUUUCCAAUCCUUGUCCUUGGACUGUUAUGAUCCGUUCCUCAUGAGAUCUUUGCACUUAACGAGUUGAUGACAUGAGAACAAGCCCUAAAUUGAGAUGGACCGACGCAAAGGGAUCUUCUCUUACAUGCAAUGGUUUGGAGGGGAUGGGCCAGCAUUUACUACUCAUACAUAUAUACAUAUAUUCUCAGAGUCCGUCUUCGUACAUUGAACAGUGGCUUUAACCUCAAAUAUCUUUCUGAGGCUCAAUAGAAGUGCAGCCAGUGUGUUCUCUCAUCCUGGACGAGUAAUCACGUGUACAAUCUGAGCCUGCUAGUGAUUGGCUGGCGACAUAUGGGACAACUGGACAAUCUUCGUUCGCAUUCUCCGCAAGUCUGCAAUUAAUCAUGUUCACUGUAUCAGUAAGCCUAGGAAGGAGAGCUGUAGUUAACAAUAGCAAAAACACUUUCAAGAAGCUUCACCAUGUGACCGCAACCAAAUGCCAUGUUCUUGGGAUUUGUCAGGCAAACAGGGCACACCUAUACAGAGAACAGGCAGAUGGAGAAAAGAGGUAGUGAGCAAUUUUCUCAGUAUAGGAAAGUCAUCUGAUAUGUUGCCGUUUUUAAGAUAUUGUCAAUGAGUCCCAUUGCUAGGUAAAAUUAUGUUGUGGAGUCUGGACCCAACCUACUUAUUUGCUAGAGCCAGGGAUCCAUAGAUAACUGUGAAAGGAAACUACUCCUGGGUUUAUUUCUUCAACGACUGCAUGCCAUUUUGGUUUAUCGCAGGACCAACUUCCUUGCAUUGUGUAAUGGAAUACCCCCAAAGGAUUAUAUCGGAAAGAUUUGGCGGAAUGCUUUCAAUAUCA